GUUGUAUACAUUAAUUGAUUUUUAUCUGCAAUUAAUUACUUUUUAGUAUUAUCUCUUGUAACUUAAAGGUAUAUAAAUUUUAUUUUAAAUAUAUUUAAUUAGCUUAUAAAUAGGAAAGAAAUUCUUUAUUAUUAACUAAAUGAUGGCUUGAUAAUAACUUUUGAAUCAGUAUUUCAGAAGUUAUUAACAAUUUAAAGUAAUGAUCUGAGGUAAAAUGUGAAUGCUGCUAAUUUUAUCAUUAGAAAUUUCACAGCUGCCACUCCUCUUUCACAUAUAAAAAUGUUACUAACUUUCGAAGUACUGGUAUAUUGUAUUUAUUUUGAGAGUAACUGAGUGGUUUAUGAUAAGCGGAUCACUUGUAUACCAUUAACAAAACAAUAAUUGAGGCAAUGAAAUGGGAAAGUACUAAGUCAAACAAAAAUCAUUUUUUUAUGGAAAACAUAGUAAACACAUCUUAUAAUCUGAUUCAGAUGUAUCAAGUUUUGUUUUAUAAACUGAUCUUAUCACAUAACAAAGAAGUCAGUAUAGUUGAAAAAUGUUAAUAAUUAAUUAUACCUACACUUGAACAAGGUAUAGAACGAUUAAAACCAUAAACUGAAUGGGUAUCUGCUAUUCGAAUCAUGCCACCAGCAUAAGUUGUCCAAAAUAAUAAUAUAAGAGCAACUACUACAGAAUUAAU
Daktulosphaira vitifoliae (grape phylloxera) is the source of this 679-nucleotide long non-coding RNA. RefSeq lists it as uncharacterized. The transcript is spliced from 3 exons. Lineage: Eukaryota; Metazoa; Arthropoda; Insecta; Hemiptera; Phylloxeridae. The record is from RefSeq and is a predicted model, not a curated record.